Molecule: ribosomal RNA, 513 nt
Filed under: uncultured bacterium
Lineage: Bacteria
Description: partial 16S ribosomal RNA
Rfam family: Bacterial small subunit ribosomal RNA
Source: RNAcentral
GAUGAACGCUGGCGGCGUGCCUAAUACAUGCAAGUCGAGCGAACAGACGAGGAGCUUGCUCCUCUGACGUUAGCGGCGGACGGGUGAGUAACACGUGGAUAACCUACCUAUAAGACUGGGAUAACUUCGGGAAACCGGAGCUAACACCGGAUAAUAUAUUGAACCGCAUGGUUCAAUAGUGAAAGACGGUUUUGCUGUCACUUAUAGAUGGAUCCGCGCCGCAUUAGCUAGUUGGUAAGGUAACGGCUUACCAAGGCAACGAUGCGUAGCCGACCUGAGAGGGUGAUCGGCCACGCGGGAACUGAGACACGGUCCAGACUCCUACGGCAGGCAGCAGUAGGGAAUCUUCCGCAAUGGGCGAAAGCCUGACGGAGAAACGCCGCGUGAGUGAUGAAGGUCUUCGGAUCGUAAAACUCUGUUAUUAGGGAAGAACAAAUGUGUAAGUAACUAUGCACGUCUUGACGGUACCUAAUCAGAAAGCCACGGCUAACUACGUGCCAGCCGCCGCCGUAA